CCUACGGGAGGCAGCAGUGGGGAAUAUUGCACAAUGGGGGAAACCCUGAUGCAGCGACGCCGCGUGGAGGAAGAAGGUCUUCGGAUUGUAAACUCCUGUUGUUGAGGAAGAUAAUGACGGUACUCAACAAGGAAGUGACGGCUAACUACGUGCCAGCAGCCGCGGUAAUACGUAGGGGGCAAGCGUUAUCCGGAUUUACUGGGUGUAAAGGGAGCGUAGACGGCAAGGCAAGUCUGAUGUGAAAACCCAGGGCUUAACCCUGGGACUGCAUUGGAAACUGUCUGGCUCGAGUGCCGGAGAGGUAAGCGGAAUUCCUAGUGUAGCGGUGAAAUGCGUAGAUAUUAGGAGGAACACCAGUGGCGAAGGCGGCUUACUGGACGGUAACUGACGUUGAGGCUCGAAAGCGUGGGGAGCAAACAGGAUU
Molecule: ribosomal RNA, 424 nt
Filed under: uncultured Faecalibacterium sp.
Lineage: Bacteria; Bacillati; Bacillota; Clostridia; Eubacteriales; Oscillospiraceae
Description: bacterial SSU rRNA
Rfam family: Bacterial small subunit ribosomal RNA
Source: RNAcentral